Molecule: ribosomal RNA, 274 nt
Filed under: uncultured bacterium
Lineage: Bacteria
Description: partial 16S ribosomal RNA
Rfam family: Archaeal small subunit ribosomal RNA
Source: RNAcentral
AAACCAGCACCUCAAGUGGUCAGGAGGUUUAUUGGGCCUAAAGCAUCCGUAGCCUGAUCUGUAAGUUUUCGGUUAAAUCUGUACGCUCAACGUACAGGCUGCCGGGAAUACUGCAGAUCUAGGGAGUGGGAGAGGUAGACGGUACUCGGGAGGAAGUGGUAAAAUGCUUUGAUCUCUCGAUGACCACCUGUGGCGAAGGCGGUCUACCAGAACACGUCCGACGGUGAGGGAUGAAAGCUGGGGGAGCAAACCGGAUUAGAAACCCGAGUAGUCC